RNAcentral lists this long non-coding RNA (1240 nucleotides) under Scleropages formosus (Asian bonytongue). RNAcentral's name for it is "lncRNA (ENSSFOG00015030157.1)". The record is from RNAcentral. Lineage: Eukaryota; Metazoa; Chordata; Actinopteri; Osteoglossiformes; Osteoglossidae.
GUGAACUUUUGUAACUCUUGGAUGUUUGCAUCAUUUGAUUAUAGUGGCAAUUUUGGAGCUGUUUAUUAGUGUCUCUAUUGCAGUAUUAAUUCUGACCUUUAUUAUUGGCCACCAUUAGGCUGUUUGUGCGGGGGCGCCACGUCCGCAGCGAUCCAGCGCGCUGCCUGGUGGCCCUCUCCGCCGUCGGACGUUGCCCCUCCUUACGGCGCACUUUGUUUUCUCUCUACGCACAGACGCCCGUGGAAUACGCAGCCGCAGGUUCCUCCGGUACUGCCGACACCCGCGGGACUAUGGGAGAUAUCGCAGUGGACCGCACUCCCCUUUCGAGGGCUGCCCUCGUUCUUAAGAAGACCAGCUUGGCGACCGGAAGGUUGCAUGGAUCUGAUCAUUGGAGAUCCCAGGUGUACUUUUCUCAGAGCAGAGAUAGUGAGGCUGGAAGUGGCCCGUGUGCCCACCGUGCUCUUGGCUCGGAAGAGUGAGCGCUGCCCGAGAAAAAGGAAGAUGAUGGAUGUGUUGGGAAGACACGGCACACGCGGCGGCCCCGGAAAUCAACGGAAGCGAACGUCGGGCGGCAGGAGAAUUUCUGCGAACGGCUUCCCCGAAAGCCUGCGAUGGAGCCGUGUGCUGGAGCAAGGUAUUUUUACUCUGUCAUCGCGCCGCUUUGUUCCAAGGAGCGCCCCAACGUGUCCGAAUCGGGCGCCGCCGGCCUCGUCUCCGACCAGCGUGCGUGGAAGGGAGUGGAGGUGGAGCAGAGCCACAGUGACACGUUGUAGGAUGGAUGGAGGGAGGGAGCACGCGACAUACGCACUCUCGCACGCACAGACACACGCCUGCCUUAUUAAUUACUGCGUGAGCCGAGGUUUACGCGCGGUGGCGGCGCUCACCUGGUCAACGCGGCGACGCUCGGCCUCGGCCUACAGAGGGCGUGCGACCCGGCGCCACGAGGAGCGGGUCCCGCAGCCAGAGCUUAGCGCGGCAUCACAGCCUCGGUGGCGAAACGACGCAUCUGUUAAAGCACUUAAGAGCAGCUGCUGAUACUCAAAGUGUGUGCUAAUUGACGUAAUUGGAGAGGAGCCACGUCCACGGCUUCGCUGCUUUACCUGCACUCAACGCUUUGCCGCACGGCUGCCGUCAGCGCCCCCCACAGGCCAAUUAGCGGGGGGGGGUGGGCACCACCACCACCACCACCACCACUGUGUGAGUGACAGCAUGGUUGUACAGAGGGCCGGUGCGCGGCGCA